GACGAACGCUGGCGGCGUGCUUAACACAUGCAAGUCGUACGGAAAGGCCCUUCGGGGUACUCGAGUGGCGAACGGGUGAGUAACACGUGGGUGAUCUGCCCUGCACUUUGGGAUAAGCCUGGGAAACUGGGUCUAAUACCGGAUAGGACCACGGCAUUCAUGUGCUGUGGUGGAAAGCUUUUGCGGUGUGGGAUGGGCCCGCGGCCUAUCAGCUUGUUGGUGGGGUAAUGGCCUACCAAGGCGACGACGGGUAGCCGGCCUGAGAGGGUGACCGGCCACACUGGGACUGAGAUACGGCCCAGACUCCUACGGGAGGCAGCAGUGGGGAAUAUUGCACAAUGGGCGCAAGCCUGAUGCAGCGACGCCGCGUGAGGGAUGACGGCCUUCGGGUUGUAAAUCUCUUUCGCCAGGGACGAAGCGCAAGUGACGGUACCUGGAGAAGAAGGACCGGCCAACUACGUG
This 462-nucleotide ribosomal RNA is filed under the name uncultured bacterium. Its description in RNAcentral is "partial 16S ribosomal RNA". It matches the Rfam family "Bacterial small subunit ribosomal RNA", at positions 28 to 507 of the family's 1533-position model. The record is from RNAcentral.